RNAcentral lists this ribosomal RNA (386 nucleotides) under Lacticaseibacillus casei. Its description in RNAcentral is "bacterial SSU rRNA". It matches the Rfam family "Bacterial small subunit ribosomal RNA", at positions 1119 to 1503 of the family's 1533-position model. The record is from RNAcentral. Lineage: Bacteria; Bacillati; Bacillota; Bacilli; Lactobacillales; Lactobacillaceae.
CAGCAUUUAGUUGGGCACUUUAGUAAGACUGCCGGUGACAAACCGGAGGAAGGUGGGGAUGACGUCAAAUCAUCAUGCCCCUUAUGACCUGGGCUACACACGUGCUACAAUGGAUGGUACAACGAGUUGCGAGACCGCGAGGUCAAGCUAAUCUCUUAAAGCCAUUCUCAGUUCGGACUGUAGGCUGCAACUUGCCUACACGAAGUCGGAAUCGCUAGUAAUCGCGGAUCAGCACGCCGCGGUGAAUACGUUCCCGGGCCUUGUACACACCGCCCGUCACACCAUGAGAGUUUGUAACACCCGAAGCCGGUGGCGUAACCCUUUUAGGGAGCGAGCCGUCUAAGGUGGGACAAAUGAUUAGGGUGAAGUCGUAACAAGAGCUGCCC